Molecule: ribosomal RNA, 253 nt
Filed under: uncultured bacterium
Lineage: Bacteria
Description: partial 16S ribosomal RNA
Rfam family: Bacterial small subunit ribosomal RNA
Source: RNAcentral
UACGGAGGAUCCAAGCGUUAUCCGGAUUUAUUGGGCGUAAAGAGCUCGUAGGUGGCCUGUCGCGUCGGCUGUGAAAACUCGGGGCUCAACUCCGAGCUUGCAGUCGAUACGGGCAGGCUAGAGUUCGGCAGGGGAGACUGGAAUUCCUGGUGUAGCGGUGAAAUGCGCAGAUAUCAGGAGGAACACCGGUGGCGAAGGCGGGUCUCUGGGCCGAUACUGACACUGAGGAGCGAAAGCGUGGGGAGCGAACAGG